RNAcentral lists this unclassified non-coding RNA (348 nucleotides) under soil metagenome. Its description in RNAcentral is "partial contains 5.8S ribosomal RNA, internal transcribed spacer 2, and large subunit ribosomal RNA". The stretch from base 1 to 120 matches the Rfam family "5.8S ribosomal RNA", at positions 35 to 154 of the family's 154-position model. The record is from RNAcentral.
GAUGAAGAACGUAGUGAAAUGCGAUAAGUAAUGUGAAUUGCAGAAUUCAGUGAAUCAUCGAAUCUUUGAACGCACAUUGCGCCCGCCAGUAUUCUGGCGGGCAUGCCUGUCUGAGCGUCAUUUCAACCCUCAUGCCCCUAGGGCGUGGUGUUGGGGAUCGGCCAAAGCCCGCGAGGGACGGCCGGCCCCUAAAUCUAGUGGCGGACCCGUCGUGGCCUCCUCUGCGAAGUAGUGAUAUUCCGCAUCGGAGAGCGACGAGCCCCUGCCGUUAAACCCCCAACUUUCCGAGGUUGACCUCAGAUCAGGUAGGAAUACCCGCUGAACUUAAGCAUAUCAAUAAGCGGAGGA